This 460-nucleotide ribosomal RNA is filed under the name uncultured bacterium. RNAcentral's name for it is "partial 16S ribosomal RNA". It matches the Rfam family "Bacterial small subunit ribosomal RNA", at positions 338 to 795 of the family's 1533-position model. The record is from RNAcentral.
CCUACGGGAGGCAGCAGUGAGGAAUAUUGGUCAAUGGGCUUACGCCUGAACCAGCCACGUCGCGUGAGGGAAGACUGACCUAUGGGUUGUAAACCUCUUUUGUCAGGGAGCAAUUGGCGCUACGUGUAGCGUUAUCGCGAGUACCCGAAGAAAAAGCAUCGGCUAACUUCGUGCCAGCAGCCGCGGUAAUCCGGGGGAUGCGAUCGUUAUCCGGAUUUAUUGGGUUAAAAGGGUGCGUAGGCGGAAUGUCAAGUCAGCGGUAAAAUCGCGGGGCUCAACCUCGCUCCGACGUUGAAACUGGCGUUCUAGAGUGGGCGAGAAGUAUGCGGAAUGCGUGGUGUAGCGGUGAAAUGCAUAGAUAUCACGCAGAACUCCGAUUGCGAAGGCAGCAUACCGGCGCCCAACUGACGCUGAAGCACGAAAGCGUGGGUAGCGAACAGGAUUAGAUACCCGUGUAGUC